Molecule: ribosomal RNA, 497 nt
Filed under: uncultured bacterium
Lineage: Bacteria
Description: partial 16S ribosomal RNA
Rfam family: Bacterial small subunit ribosomal RNA
Source: RNAcentral
GAUGAACGCUGGCGGCGUGCCUAAUACAUGCAAGUCGAGCGAACGGACGAGAAGCUUGCUUCUCUGAUGUUAGCGGCGGACGGGUGAGUAACACGUGGAUAACCUACCUAUAAGACUGGGAUAACUUCGGGAAACCGGAGCUAAUACCGGAUGAUAUUUUGAACCGCAUGGUUCAAAAGUGAAAGACGGUCUUGCUGUCACUUAUAGAUGGAUCCGCGCUGCAUUAGCUAGUUGGUAAGGUAACGGCUUACCAAGGCAACGAUGCAUAGCCGACCUGAGCGGGUGAUCGGCCACACUGGAACUGAGACACGGUCCAGACUCCUACGGGAGGCAGCAGUAGGGACUCUUCCGCAAUGGGCGAAAGCCUGACGGAGCAACGCCGCGUGAGUGAUGAAGGUCUUCGGAUCGUAAAACUCUGUUAUUAGGGAAGAACAUAUGUGUAAGUAACUGUGCACAUCUUGACGGUACCUAAUCAGAAAGCCACGGCUAACUACGUG